UAUCUGCCCUUUGGCCUGGAAUAACACGAGGAAACUUGUGCUAAUACCGGAUAAGUCUUUACGGAGAAAGCUUUAUGCACCAUUGGAUGAGCCUGCACUUGAUUAGUUUGUUGGUGGGGUAAUGGCCUACCAAGACUGUGAUCAAUAGCUGAUUUGAGAGGAUGAUCAGCCACAUUGGGACUGAGACACGGCCCAAACUCCUACGGGAGGCAGCAGUGGGGAAUCUUGCACAAUGGAGGAAACUCUGAUGCAGCGAUGCCGCGUGAGUGAAGAAGGCCUUUGGGUUGUAAAGCUCUUUCGUCGGGGAAGAAAAUGACUGUACCCGAAUAAGAAGGUCCGGCUAACUUCGUGCCAGCAGCCGCGGUAAUACGAAGGGACCUAGCGU
Molecule: ribosomal RNA, 385 nt
Filed under: uncultured bacterium
Lineage: Bacteria
Description: bacterial SSU rRNA
Rfam family: Bacterial small subunit ribosomal RNA
Source: RNAcentral